GAAAACGUAUCGAUGAGAAAAGUAAUCUUUAACCAACGAGAUAGAGAGCUUGCAGGGUGGGAACAAGUCACGCGGUGAAAGAUGAACAAUGGCCUCUAAACGGUGCCGCUGAACCUUAAUGGCAAAGUGACAACGACCAGCAGUCGUUAUCCUGCUACCGUAUGAAAAUGUACGGGAUAAGGUUACAAGUGUGAGCUUGUGACAAAGAUAAGGUGGUACCGCGAACGGUAGCUUCGUCCUUUUU
RNAcentral lists this non-coding RNA (244 nucleotides) under Furfurilactobacillus rossiae. Its description in RNAcentral is "Lactobacillus rossiae T-box sequence". It matches the Rfam family "T-box leader". Rfam says of the family: Uncharged tRNA acts as the effector for transcription antitermination of genes in the T-box leader family. T-boxes are found upstream of many aminoacyl-tRNA synthetase genes and some amino acid biosynthetic genes usually in Gram-positive bacteria. The anticodon of a specific tRNA base pairs to a specifier sequence within the T-box motif, and the NCCA acceptor tail of the tRNA base pairs to a conserved bulge in the T-box antiterminator hairpin. The record is from RNAcentral. Lineage: Bacteria; Bacillati; Bacillota; Bacilli; Lactobacillales; Lactobacillaceae.